This is a non-coding RNA of Zootermopsis nevadensis, 565 nucleotides long. NCBI's taxonomy places the organism in Eukaryota, Metazoa, Arthropoda, Insecta, Blattodea, Termopsidae. The record is from RefSeq and is a predicted model, not a curated record.
UAUUGUUGUGAGGUUUAAGUAAGCAGUAAAUAAUACUUAAAAUGCAGUUUAUACCUCAAAGACAAUUAAACGUGUGUCUGUUACGAAUAUCAGUUAGCUGUGCAUUUGAGAGAAAUUAUCACUGUUUAUUCUAAGAAAAAUUAAUGGAAAACAGGUGCACAGUAUCUGGUUUGCAGAUUACGAGGUGCGAUCAGAAAGUUUCCAGACUGUGUCAAUAGAGGGCGCACCGGAUGUAGUACGAGCUUCUGCCGCUAGGGGGUGCGGCCUACAUUCAUAGUGAAUCAGUGUCAGCCGGCAUCAUCGAAUUAGCAUUAGUUUCUUAGUUACGGAUGGAACAGUCGACUUGAGGCACCCCAUAUGAAUCAACAAAGGUUCUGGUGAUAGCAGUUUACAAUGCAGAAAUCUUACCGGAAAUGAAGAGCUCCUGAAGUGUUAUACUGCGUUCCAGCGUUUUCGGCCGCUGAGCUUUGUGAAUUGGAACCUUGGAGCGAUUCACUUACCAGAAGUUUCCUGGAAGGGGUGGCAGCAGGCCGCGUACAGCACAUUCCAAAUAAAGUAUCACCAC